This 409-nucleotide ribosomal RNA is filed under the name uncultured bacterium. Its description in RNAcentral is "bacterial SSU rRNA". It matches the Rfam family "Bacterial small subunit ribosomal RNA", at positions 355 to 775 of the family's 1533-position model. The record is from RNAcentral.
UGGGGAAUAUUGCACAAUGGGCGAAAGCCUGAUGCAGCGACGCCGCGUGAGGGAUGACGGCCUUCGGGUUGUAAACCUCUUUCGGUAGGGACGAAGCGAAAGUGACGGUACCUACAGAAGAAGCGCCGGCCAACUACGUGCCAGCAGCCGCGGUAAGACGUAGGGCGCAAGCGUUGUCCGGAUUUAUUGGGCGUAAAGAGCUCGUAGGCGGCUUGUUGCGUCGACUGUGAAAACCCGUGGCUCAACCAUGUGGUCUGCAGUCGAUACGGGCAGGCUAGAAUUCGGUAGGGGAGACUGGAAUUCCUGGUGUAGCGGUGAAAUGCGCAGAUAUCAGGAGGAACACCGGUGGCGAAGGCGGGUCUCUGGGCCGAUAUUGACGCUGAGGAGCGAAAGCGUGGGGAGCGAACAG